RNAcentral lists this unclassified non-coding RNA (334 nucleotides) under soil metagenome. RNAcentral's name for it is "partial contains 5.8S ribosomal RNA, internal transcribed spacer 2, and large subunit ribosomal RNA". The stretch from base 1 to 120 matches the Rfam family "5.8S ribosomal RNA", at positions 35 to 154 of the family's 154-position model. The record is from RNAcentral.
GAUGAAGAACGCAGCGAAAUGCGAUAAGUAAUGUGAAUUGCAGAAUUCAGUGAAUCAUCGAAUCUUUGAACGCACAUUGCGCCCGCCAGUAUUCUGGCGGGCAUGCCUGUUCGAGCGUCAUUUCAACCAUCAAGCCCUGCUUGCGUUGGGGUCCUGCGGCUGCCCGCAGGCCCUGAAAACCAGUGGCGGGCUCGCUAGUCACACCGAGCGCAGUAAUACAUCUCGCUUUGGGCGUGCGGCGGGUUCUUGCCGUUAAACACCCCCUUUUUACCAAGGUUGACCUCGGAUCAGGUAGGAAGACCCGCUGAACUUAAGCAUAUCAAUAAGCGGAGGA